Molecule: ribosomal RNA, 1398 nt
Filed under: Serratia sp. (in: enterobacteria)
Lineage: Bacteria; Pseudomonadati; Pseudomonadota; Gammaproteobacteria; Enterobacterales; Yersiniaceae
Description: bacterial SSU rRNA
Rfam family: Bacterial small subunit ribosomal RNA
Source: RNAcentral
UGCAGUCGAGCGGUAGCACAAGAGAGCUUGCUCUCUGGGUGACGAGCGGCGGACGGGUGAGUAAUGUCUGGGAAACUGCCUGAUGGAGGGGGAUAACUACUGGAAACGGUAGCUAAUACCGCAUAACGUCGCAAGACCAAAGAGGGGGACCUUCGGGCCUCUUGCCAUCAGAUGUGCCCAGAUGGGAUUAGCUAGUAGGUGGGGUAAUGGCUCACCUAGGCGACGAUCCCUAGCUGGUCUGAGAGGAUGACCAGCCACACUGGAACUGAGACACGGUCCAGACUCCUACGGGAGGCAGCAGUGGGGAAUAUUGCACAAUGGGCGCAAGCCUGAUGCAGCCAUGCCGCGUGUGUGAAGAAGGCCUUCGGGUUGUAAAGCACUUUCAGCGAGGAGGAAGGUGGUGAACUUAAUACGUUCAUCAAUUGACGUUACUCGCAGAAGAAGCACCGGCUAACUCCGUGCCAGCAGCCGCGGUAAUACGGAGGGUGCAAGCGUUAAUCGGAAAUUACUGGGCGUAAAGCGCACGCAGGCGGUUUGUUAAGUCAGAUGUGAAAUCCCCGGGCUCAACCUGGGAACUGCAUUUGAAACUGGCAAGCUAGAGUCUCGUAGAGGGGGGUAGAAUUCCAGGUGUAGCGGUGAAAUGCGUAGAGAUCUGGAGGAAUACCGGUGGCGAAGGCGGCCCCCUGGACGAAGACUGACGCUCAGGUGCGAAAGCGUGGGGGAGCAAACAGGAUUAGAUACCCUGGUAGUCCACGCUGUAAACGAUGUCGAUUUGGAGGUUGUGCCCUUGAGGCGUGGCUUCCGGAGCUAACGCGUUAAAUCGACCGCCUGGGGAGUACGGCCGCAAGGUUAAAACUCAAAUGAAUUGACGGGGGCCCGCACAAGCGGUGGAGCAUGUGGUUUAAUUCGAUGCAACGCGAAGAACCUUACCUACUCUUGACAUCCAGAGAACUUUCCAGAGAUGGAUUGGUGCCUUCGGGAACUCUGAGACAGGUGCUGCAUGGCUGUCGUCAGCUCGUGUUGUGAAAUGUUGGGUUAAGUCCCGCAACGAGCGCAACCCUUAUCCUUUGUUGCCAGCGGUUCGGCCGGGAACUCAAAGGAGACUGCCAGUGAUAAACUGGAGGAAGGUGGGGAUGACGUCAAGUCAUCAUGGCCCUUACGAGUAGGGCUACACACGUGCUACAAUGGCGUAUACAAAGAGAAGCGACCUCGCGAGAGCAAGCGGACCUCAUAAAGUACGUCGUAGUCCGGAUUGGAGUCUGCAACUCGACUCCAUGAAGUCGGAAUCGCUAGUAAUCGUAGAUCAGAAUGCUACGGUGAAUACGUUCCCGGGCCUUGUACACACCGCCCGUCACACCAUGGGAGUGGGUUGCAAAAGAAGUAGGUAGCUUAACCUUC